ACGGGGCCCGCACAAGCGGAGGAACAUGUUGGUUUAAUUCGAUGAUACGCGAGGAACCUUACCUGGUUAAUGUAGGUUGCAUGGGGGGGAAACUUCCCUUUCCUUCGGGACUACUUACAAGGUGCUGCAUGGUUGUCGUCAGCUCGUGCCGUGAGGUGUCGGGUUAAGUCCCAUAACGAGCGCAACCCCUAUCGUUAGUUGCCAGCAAGUAAAGUUGGGGACUCUAGCGAGACUGCCGGUGUAAACCGUGAGGAAGGUGGGGAUGACGUCAAAUCAGCACGGCCCUUAUAUCCAGGGCUACACACGUGUUACAAUGGUCGGUACAAAGAGCAGCCACUUGGUGACAAGGCGCUAAUCUCAAAAGCCGAUCUCAGUUCGGAUCGAAGUCUGCAACUCGACUUCGUGAAGUUGGAUUCGCUAGUAAUCGCGCAUCAGCCAUGGCGCGGUGAAUACGUUCCCGGGCCUU
RNAcentral lists this ribosomal RNA (466 nucleotides) under uncultured Marinilabiliaceae bacterium. RNAcentral describes it as "bacterial SSU rRNA". It matches the Rfam family "Bacterial small subunit ribosomal RNA", at positions 916 to 1381 of the family's 1533-position model. The record is from RNAcentral. Lineage: Bacteria; Pseudomonadati; Bacteroidota; Bacteroidia; Marinilabiliales; Marinilabiliaceae.